CCUACGGGUGGCUGCAGUGAGGAAUUUUGGUCAAUGGACGCAAGUCUGAACCAGCCAUGUCGCGUGAAGGAGGACGGCCCUAAGGGUUGUAAACUUCUUUUGCAGUGGAAUAAAGUUUGCCACGUGUUGGCGAUUUGCAAGUACGCUGCGAAUAAGGAUCGGCUAACUACGUGCCAGCAGCCGCGGUAAGACGUAGGGGGCAAGCGUUACCCGGAAUUACUGGGCGUAAAGGGGGCGUAGGCGGUAAAAGAAGUCAUCUGUGAAAACCUAUUGCUCAACGAUAGGCUAGCGGAUGAAACUGAAUUACUUGAGGGCACCAGAGGUAGACGGAAUUACCCGAGUAGGGGUGAAAUCCGCAGAUACGGGUAGGAACGCCGGUGGAGAAGUCGGUCUACUGGGGUGCACCAGACGCUGAGGCCCGAAAGCUAGGGGAGCAAACCGGAUUAGAUACCCUGGUAGUC
Molecule: ribosomal RNA, 461 nt
Filed under: uncultured Thermotogae bacterium
Lineage: Bacteria; Thermotogati; Thermotogota; Thermotogae
Description: bacterial SSU rRNA
Rfam family: Bacterial small subunit ribosomal RNA
Source: RNAcentral